GACGAACGCUGGCGGCGUGCCUAAUACAUGCAAGUCGAACGCUGAAGGAGGAGCUUGCUUCUCUGGAUGAGUUGCGAACGGGUGAGUAACGCGUAGGUAACCUGCCUGGUAGCGGGGGAUAACUAUUGGAAACGAUAGCUAAUACCGCAUAAUAGUAGAUGUUGCAUGACAUUUGCUUAAAAGGUGCACUUGCAUCACUACCAGAUGGACCUGCGUUGUAUUAGCUAGUUGGUGGGGUAACGGCUCACCAAGGCGACGAUACAUAGCCGAACUGAGAGGGGGAUCGGCCACACUGGGACUGAGACACGGCCCAGACGUCUACGGGAGGCAGCAGUAGGGAAUCUUCGGCAAGGGACGGAAGUCUGACCGAGAAACGCCGCGGGAGUGAAGAAGGUUGUCGGAUCGGAAAGCUCUGUUGUAAGAGAAGAAAGAGUGUGAGAGUGGAAAGUUCACACUGUGACGGUAGCUGAACAGAAAGGGACGGCUAACUACGUG
Molecule: ribosomal RNA, 495 nt
Filed under: uncultured bacterium
Lineage: Bacteria
Description: partial 16S ribosomal RNA
Rfam family: Bacterial small subunit ribosomal RNA
Source: RNAcentral